Molecule: ribosomal RNA, 253 nt
Filed under: uncultured bacterium
Lineage: Bacteria
Description: partial 16S ribosomal RNA
Rfam family: Bacterial small subunit ribosomal RNA
Source: RNAcentral
UACGGGGGGGGCAAGCGUUGUUCGGAAUUACUGGGCGUAAAGGGCUCGUAGGUGGCCAACUAAGUCAGACGUGAAAUCCCUCGGCUUAACCGGGGAACUGCCUUUGAUACUGGCGAUCUCGAGUUCGGGAGAGGUGAGUGGAACUGCGAGUGUAGAGGUGAAAUUCGUAGAUAUUCGCAAGAACACCAGUGGCGAAGGCGGCUCACUGGCCCGAUACUGACGCUGAGGUGCGAAAGCGUGGGGAGCAAACAGG